Molecule: long non-coding RNA, 31711 nt
Filed under: Gossypium barbadense (sea-island cotton)
Lineage: Eukaryota; Viridiplantae; Streptophyta; Magnoliopsida; Malvales; Malvaceae
Description: long non-coding RNA (GBAR_LNC013075)
Source: RNAcentral
CAACGCUUGCAGCGGCGGAAGCUUUCAAAAGGGGAUGUGCCAAUACACUAAUUUUAUAAGCCGAUUCGAAGUUGGUGCUCGUCAAAAACGAAACAUCUUCUGCCGUGUAAUCCGUCACCAUUUUCCCUAUAUUCGUUCCAACGUUAUUUAUCUGCAAAUUUUACGGGUUAAACUGUGAAUUUUUAUUAAUUUUAUAUAAUCAUAGGUUAAAUCCCAUGGGAGGUCCCUGUACUAUAGAGGUUACAUCAAAUUAAUCCCUCUAUUAUUAAAUAGAUCAAUUGUAAUCCCUAUACUACAAAAAGAAUUAAACAAGUCCCUUAAAAAUAAAAAUGUGAUUCUAUAAAGCAAGAAUUAUUAUUAAUUUUUUUAUGAAAUGGAUUCAAAUUACUUCACAAACUCUAAUUAAGAAUAAAUGAAAAGAUCUAGCUUGAAACCUCUCCUCAAAAUUAAAAGAUUCAAUUUAAGUCUUUUUAACUAUUCAUUAAAUGAAAAAUUAAUAAUUUUAUCUCGAUCCCUUAAACAAAAUUUCUAGCUUAGCCCGUAUUUAUUUGAGUCAAUUUGUAAUAUAUAUAUUUAUAUAUAUGGGAGAGAGAUUUACUUACAUAAGUGUAAGACUUAAGUGGUUUUACACAUUUCCAUGAAUUUUUACACAAUUACUUUUUUAAUAAUCCAACUGUCAUGUUUCAUGCUCCAUUUUUUAAGAUCAUGCAUGUCAAGUUUGGCAAAAAUGAAAAUUUUAUAACUAUUGAUUUUAUGUAAAAAACUUUCAACCAUUAAAUAUAUAUUAAUAUAAACAAUAUUUUAUAUAGAUAUGAUAGAGAUAUUGGAUCGAUUAAAAAAUUUACAUGCAUAAUAAGUAUAAAUAUAAUGAUAAAUUUAAGGUUGCGUUGUUAAAUAUUAAUAGUAUAAAAAGUUACAGAAGGAUGUAAAACCAUUUAAGUUUUAUAUCAAUAUAAGUGGAUCUCUUCCCACAUAUGUAUAUAAUGAUCUUUCAUAUUUGAAUAUUAGCAGUAAUUUACCAGGAUGUUAAGCCUUCCAUUGAACACAGAGGAAACAGUGCUUAAUAGAUUUUCCCUUUGAGCUUGAUUCGAAACAUCACACACUGAACCUGUAACUCGAAAACCCUUUGCUUUCCAUUCGAGUAAGCAAUCGUUGAGCUCGGUUUCAGUUCGAGAACAUGUAUGCACAAUGGCUCCAAGUCCAGCUAAUUCCUCCACGAUUGCAUGCCUGAUCAUCGUCGCAUCAACAACAAUACUUGGGUUUCACAUUGACAUUAAAUCAAACACAUAGAAUGCAUAAAAAACCAACACUCUUUUCAUGUAGCAUCAAUAACAAUACUUGGUUUUCACAUUGACAUUAAAUCAAACACAUAGAAUGCAUAAAAACAACAACACUCUUUUCACGUAUAUUUCCACUAAAUUCAUAUCAAAUCACGAAAAGGAGAUGAACCCUUUUCGUGUUGUCUCAUGUUCUGGUUAUUUUUCUCGAAUUUUUAGGGAGUAGGGAGAGGAAAGUACCCGAUGCCUUUGGUACCACCGGUGACAAGUGCAGUCAUGCCUUGAAGACUCCAUCUUUUGUCUUUGCUACACCCCUCUGCUUCUCCCAUUUUGCUUACUUCUCAGCUUCUUCUUCUUUUCUUUGGUCUUUAUAUAGCGGUACACCAUUUUGUAUAUUUUUAUAUGUAGAUUAACUCUCCAAUCUUCAUUUUCGUAUUCCAUUAAGAUAGAUUAUGGACCGUAAAUUAAAAUUUUCUAAUUAUUUGUUUUGUGUAAAAAAUUUUCAACCAUCCAAUUAAUAUUAAUAUAUAAAAUAUUUUAGAUUUAUAUGAUAAAGAUAUCAAACAGGUUUAAAAUUUUACAUCUACAAUAACUGCAAUUAUAUUAAUAGAUUUAACGGUUAGAUGAUUAAAAUAACAAUUGUAGUGUAAAACAAUGUUAAUUUUACACUUUUAUUGUACAUAUGUCGUUAAAAUGUCGAUCCAAAAUAUUUAUUUUUAUUCCAAGAUUUUGUCAAUUAUUUUAUUUAUUUAAUCUUUCUAAAUAUAAUUUAAGUAUACACGACAAAAUUUCAAUUUCACUUGCAAAGUUAAAACUUUCCACUAUCCGUGUAUAAAAUAAUAUGACACUUCAUCAUUGGUGAAAUAAUAAGGAAGGACUUUUAAAUAAAUAUAAAUAAUAUUUAUUUAGAAAUAAAUCCUAAACGUGCUUGUGGAUUGAGCCUUAUACGGUUAACAUUGUUAUUAUUGGAACAACCAAGAAGACGUGGGUCUGAACGCAUGUGUUUUUCUUCGAUUUAAGAUUGAGAGGGCUUAUGAAUAGAAAUAUGUAUUGUAUAAAAAAACAUGAAAUCCUAACCUCAAUAUAAACUCUAAAUCUUAAACUCGAAACUUAAGAGAAAGAAUGUACUAAUUUUAUUUAUAAGUCCUCCACUAUUUUUUGUUUUACUCAAUAAUAACAUAUUGUAAUAUUAUUUACUGACAGUGUAUUAAAUUCGAUACCACGAGUUAACAUGAUACAAAAUGAAUCGAGAAAAAAAUCCAAUUUUUUUUUAAAAAAAUUAAAAACUCUUUUUGUAAUUUGUUUCAUAUCUUUCCAAAAAAAAGAAAAAUGGAGGAGGGUUUAUUUAUUGUAGGUGUUUUACUAUAUGUAUUUGUAGAUGGCAUACAACCAUCCACAUAGUGUAUGUGUUUUACUAUAUAUGUGUGGAUGAUAUGCUGAAAAUGGCAAUCACAUAGUGUAUGUGUUUUACUAUAUAUGUGUGGAUGAUAUGCUGAAAAUGAUUGCCAUUUUCAUAGAAAUCCGAGCUAUACGACCAUGGUAGGUAGCCUGGCUGUUGUUAUUAUCAUAUCAGUGUCGGUGGUGGUUGUUUUGGUUUAAUUAUAUUUGCUUGUACUAUAUGUAUAAGUACUAUUAAGGAUAAAAUUAAAUUUUUUUACGGGCAGAAACUAAAUUAUAAUUUUUACGAUAGUAAAAAUAAUAAUUUUACUAUUUUAAUAACUUAUAUAUCUUUAUAAUUUUUAAAGAAUUAAAUCAAAUUUUUAUAUUUUUAGGGGGAUAAAGUAUAAUUUUACCUGAGUACUACUUAUUGAUUGAUAAGUAUUUUGAUAUUUUAAAUUAAUUUUAAUUUUAAUUUAUUAAAAAUAAUUUUUUGUCUUAACUAUUAUUUUAUAUGAAUAGAUAAUGAAAUAUGAUGAUUGUAUUAUUAAAAUAUUAAUCGUAUAAAAAGUUACGGAAGAGUGUAAAACCAAUUAAGUUUUACACCAGUGUAAGUGGAUACCUCCCCGAUAAAUAGUUAAGUUGACAGAAGGACCUUCUUGACAUGAUAGAGAUAUUUUAAAGACUCAAUAAGAAAGUUUUGAAGUUCUAGGGCCAAUUUAAAAUCUAGACUACAAUUUGAGUACGCCUUGAACUUGACAACCUCUCCAACUUUUGGUCUCUAAACUUUUUUUUGGUCCACAUUAGUCCAUGAACAUGACAUCUUUUCUCAAUCUAGUCCUCAAACUUGGAUUCUGUUAGGGCAUGAUAGCGUACAUGGAACUUUGAUAUUGGUCCAUAAACUUGUAAGUUUAACGUUCUAUACAAUUUUUUAAAUUCUUAGGUGAAGACGUGACACAAUCUUAAAGUGAUACAUCAUCACACCUUAAUUGAACUAAGUUCAUGGACCAAAUUAGAAAAAAAAUACUAAGUUUUGGGGCUGAUAUGGACCAAAAAAGGUUCGAGGACCAAAUUGAAAAAUACCAAGUUCAAAGACUAAAUAUUGCUUUAUCCCAAAAAUAAAUAGAAUACAACAUGUAAAAAAAAUAGAGGGAUUAAUUUAAUAGUAGAGAGACUAACUUGAUCAUGUUCCUAACUAUAAUAGGGGGACCUCUUAGAUACAUUCAACUAUAAACAUAUUAAAGAUAAAAACAUCCUCGUAAUAACAUAACUUUGUAAAAGAAUAGUAUUGAAAACAUACCACUUUAAGGAUAGUUUUGUUCAUUGAUCGGGUUGGGUUAGUUUGUGUAUUGGUUGUAUUUGGGUUAGUACAAGUUUUAAAAUUUUGAGUUAUACAUUAUUUCAAUUUCAAUUUAUUUUGGGCUUGAAUCAUUUAGGGAUAAAGCUCGGGUUUUGCAUGUUGAAUCAUUAUGGAUUUCGGUCCUUUUAGGUUAUUUCAGCUUUGGGCCAAUUUUGGUUCAAAAUGUUGAACUUUUUUAUUGUUAAAUUGAACAUAUUCAAGUAGAAUGGAUCGAGUUUUCAUAUUUGAGUAAAUUUUGAUAAGACUACAAUUGUAAGAUCCAACCUAAAAUAUUAGGCUCAGAAAAUAGGUCUAGACAAAAAAAAUUAGACAUGUUUAAAAUAUGGGAAGUGCUCAAGCUCAAGCAUUCAAGACCCGUGCUCGGCUCAACUCGUUCUCUAUGUUUGCAAUAUAUAUUAUAUUAUGAAAUUUACAAUCUAUAGUAAUAUAUAAUACUAAAAACGUUAAAAAUAUUAAGAUGUCUAUAUAUAAAAUUUUAGUAAAUGCAAAAAAUAUAUAAAGCUAUUAAAUAUUAAAUAAAAAUAAUAUAAAUAUUUUUCAAAAUGAUUAAAAUAUAAAUGAGCAGGCUAGGGUAAAAUUCUAGACCUAUAUUUUUGGCUAGCUAGGUUCGAUUUGAACAAGCAUAAAAUAUAUUAAUAUUAUGUUUAAGCCUAGCCUAAACACAGUUUGACCCUUCCAACCAUCAACACCUCUAACCCCACCCAAAAUUUACUUGAUGAUGUAUAAUAUAUUUGAUCUUCCUUGAAAAAAAAUUGAUUCUAUAAGGUUACAAUUAUCAUUAAUUUUUAGGUAAACUACACUGUAGUCACCCAACUAUUGUCUUUUUUUCUUUUUUUGUCACCUAAUUAUCUUAUAUUUUCGAGUAUUUCCAUUUUUACGUUAAUCAACCGAUGACCAAAAAAGACAAAGUUGAAUAGUUGGGUGACCAUUUUGUAAUUUUUCAUAGUUGAUGACAAAAAAAAAAUACUAAUAGUUAGUGGUCAUUUUGUAACUUUUUAUAAUUGAGUGAUAAAAAAAGAAACCAUAAUUGGGUGAAGUCUAUUGUAAUUUACCCUUAAUAUUUUGGAUAAAAUGGAUUCAAAUUACUUUAUUAACCCUAAUUAAGAUUAAAUUACAAGAUCUAGCUUGAAUAUUAGAGCACGAGUAAGCGAAAGAUUUAAAUAAGCCUAAGGAUUAAUUUGCAAUAAAUAUAUAUAUACACACACAAAUAUUUGCAGUAAUUUACCAGGAUGUUAAGCUUCCCAUUAAACUCAGAAGAAACUGUGUUUAGUAGAUUUUCCCUUUGAGCUAGAUUCGAAACAUCACAAACUGAACCGGUAUCUCGUAAACCCUUUGCCUUCCAUUCGAGUAAGCAAUCAUUGAGCUCAGUUUCAGUUCGCGAACAUGUAUGCACAAUCGCUCCGAAUGCAGCUAAUUCCUCGACGAUUGCAUGCCUGAUCAUUAUCGUAUUAAUUGCACUAUACUUGGUUUGUCACAUUCACAUAAAAACAAACACGUUGAAGUUAAUAAUAAUAAAAAAAAUACUUGAGUUUAAGUAUGAUAAAUUUGAAUCAUUAAUUAUGUCCCAUAAUUAUUAUUUUAGAAAAUUUUUAGAUGUUAACUUUUUUAUAUAUAUUUUAGAUUUUUUUUUAAAUUUUUUUAUAAUUUUUUAAAAAUAUAAAUUUUAAAUUUUUUAUAAAUAUUUUGAAUUUUUGGAAAUUAUUUUAAAAUAUUUUUUAUUUUGUAAUUUUUUUGUGAGAGAGAUUAAUUUGCUUAUUUUCAAAGUUGAAAGGGACCGAAAGAGUAUUUACACCAAUCUGUUAUUCAAAUUAUUGAGUUAUUCGAAUUGUGAAAUUCAACUUGACUCAAACUCGAAAUUCGAAUCAAUUUAUUCGAGUUGAAUCGAAUAAUUCAAAUAACUUAAAACUCAAAAUUAUUUUCAAAUCGAAUUAAAUCGAGAUUUUGUUACAAAUUUAUGGUGGUUUGAACGACAUGGAGAUAAAUUAUUGAGUUUAUUUACACUACCAUUGAUUUAAUUUUAGUUAAAGAGAGAGAAAUAAAGUAAAAAAGGCCUUUGGGUCUACAUUUUAUGUUUCUCUAUAUGAUAAGCAAAUGUACAUGAAACCUUUGAAAGAGAGAUUAGCAACUGUUGCUAAUAUGUGUAUAAGUCAGGCAAAGGCAGGAAGCUAACAUAAGAUUUUUACAUUGUUUUUUUGGGGGGUUAUGUACAUAAUAAAAUAAACUAAUAGUUUUGAUUCACUUAAUACUAACAUUUAACCUUAAACAUAAUUGAGUAUCAUUAUAAACUACUUCAUAAUUUUAACUAUACAUUUUUCUAGAGUUAAAUCAAGUCAAAGUUUUUGAAGUGCAAAGCAUAAAGUUGAGUUAACUCGGAAUGACCAGAGUUGAACAACAUCUUCAGCUUUGAGUUGGUUGUUCUUUACAAUAGAAUUCCAAGAUGUCGUAAUGACAUACAUUGACUUUUUGCGCAUAUCCCACCUUUUAAAGUUGAUUUCAGUUUCCUCCAUUGAUGGUUCCACCAAGCAAGCUUUAAUGGCUUCUUUAUUCUUCAAACGCUCAACCUCGGAUUCGUUAAGGAACUCAUGGGAUUCGACUUGCGAAAACGGUAUCAACAAUCGACUUGCUUGAGGGUUCACAUCGGAGAAAAACAGUUGUUUUUGAAUCACCAAAACGCAAUUUGAUCCACCCAUGUUUUCAACAAUAUGUUGUUUCAAGCCUUCAGGCAUCAUUGGCUUAGGUGGAUAAGAGGUAAUGGGUCUCUUGUUCUUGUUAUUUUCUUCUUGGGUUCGGCGUUUCCUUUUCAAUCCACCAUUCUUUUUCUUAUUCAUGAAGGUUUGCUCUUGCAUUUUUUCCUGGUCGACUCUCACAACUUCUAACAAAUAAUCCAUAGCUGUCCAUUCAGGUUGAAUCUUUGUGUUCUUGAAAUCUUCAGAAGUAAGAAGCUCCAUUUUUCUUUUAGAUAAUCAUAUAGGUAUUAGGGUGGAAGUAUAAAUAUAUAGACAUGAGAGCUGAACAGUUCGUGUAGAAUUGGGUUUCUUUUUUUUAUGAAAAAUAUGAAAUUAAUCCAAAUCCAAAUAGGAAUAGGAUGAUUGAAUUUAAAUAGAAAUCCAAACCCAAAUCCAAUAUGUAAAAAAAAAAAUUUCUUUGCUCUAAAAAUUGACAGAACCAGAACCAGAAACCUAUGACUUACAUAUUGAAUUUGGAGUUGGAUUUCUAUUUAAAUCCAAUCAUCCCAGAACCAGAAACCUAUGACUUACAUAUUGUAUUUGGAUUUCUAUUCUUUUUACAUAUUGGAUUUGGAUUUAAAUUCAAUCAUCCUAUUCCUAUUUGUUUUUGGAUUAAUUUCAUAUUUUUCAUAAAAAAGGAAACCGAAUUCUACACGAACUGUUCAGCUCUCAUGUCCCUAUAUUUAUACUUCCACCCUAAUACCUAUAUGAUUAUCUAAAAGAAAAAUGGAGCUUCUUACUUCUGAAGAUUUCAAGAACACAAGGAUUCAACCCGAAUGGACUGCUAUGGAUUAUUUGUUAGAAGUUGUGAGAGUCGACCAGGAAAAAAUGCAAGAGCAAACCUUAAUGAAUAAGAAAAAGAAUGGUGGAUUGAAAAGGAAACUCCAAAUCCAAGAAGAAAAUAACAAGAACAAGAGACCCAUUACCUCUUAUCCACCUAAGCCACUGACGCCUGAAGGCUUGAAACAACAUAUUGUUGAAAACAUGGGUGGAUCAAAUUGCGUUUUGGUGAUUCAAAAACAACUGUUUUUCUCCGAUGUGAACCCUCAAGCGAGUCGAUUGUUGAUACCGUUUUCGCAAGUCGAAUCCCAUGAGUUCCUCAACGUAUGUCGCUACGAUAUCUUGAAAUUCUAUUGUAAAGAACAACCAAUUCAAAGCUGAAGAUGUUGUUCAACUCUGGUCGUUCCGAGUCAACUCAACUUUAUGCUUUGCACUUCAAAAAUUUUGACUUGAUUUAACUCCAGAAAAAUGUAUAGUUGAAAUUAUGAAGUAGUUUAUAAUUGUACUCAAUUAUGUUUAAGGUUAAAUAUUAAUAUUACUUGAAUCAAAACUAUUAGUUUAUUUUAUUACGUACAUAACCCCCAAAAAAACAAUGUAAAAAUCUUAUGUUGUCUUCGUGCCUUUGCCUGACUUGUACGAAUAUUAGCAACAGUAACUGAAUUUCUCUUUCAAAGGCAUCAUGUAUAUUUGCUUAUCAUAUAGAAGCAUAAAAUGUAGACCCAAAGGCCCUUUUUACUUUAUUACUCUCUUUAACUAAAAUUAAAUCAAUGGCAGCGUGAAUAAACUCAAUAAAUUAUCUUCAUAUCGUUUAAACUAACUGUCAACACCAUUAAUUUGUAACACCAAAAUCUUGAUUCGAAAAAAUCGAAAAAAUUUUCGAUUUCAAGUUAUUCAAAUAAUUCGAUUUAACUCGAAUAACUCGAUUCAAGUUUUGAGUUGGAUUCGAGUUGAAUUUCACAAUUCGAAUAACUCGAAUAAUUCAAAUAACAGAUUGGUAUAAAUACCCUUUUGGUCUAUGUUAGCUUUGAAAAUAAGCAAAUUGGUCUCUUUAACAACAAAAAAUUACAAAAUAAAAAAAAAUUCAAAAUAUUUUUAAAAAAUUAUAAAAGAUUUAAAAAAUUUAUAAUAUAUAUAUGUAAAGUUCAAAUUUUAAAAAUUUCUAAAAUAAUAAUUAUGGGACCUAAUUAAUGAUUCAAAUACUCAAACUCAAGUAUUUUAUUUUAUUUAUUGUUUUGCUUUGAAAAAAAAUUCAAAUAUAUAUGGUUUCAAAUUUAUGUGCUCUAACAUGAAAUUAGUUAUAAUGUAAAAAUAUUUUUAUUUAACAUGUUUAAUUUUUUUAAUUUAACUUUUACAAUAUCACUUGAUUCGAUUCGAAAAAAAAUUCAGAUUAAGUUAGGAUGAUAAAAUAAAAUUUAUGAAUUCGAUUAACUCGAAAUUUUUUCACUUAAUUCGAUAAAACGCUCACCUCUAGUUACCUUUACAUAACCUACGAAUGGUUAAUCUUACAUUAGUGUUGAGACGCAUAUUUGAUAUGAAUCUAGUGGAAAUCCACACGAAAUGGUUCCUUUUUUUUUUCUUUAUUAUUAUUGUCUUGAACGUGUUUGUUUUUAUGUGAAUGUGACAAACCAAGUAUUGUGCAAUUAAUACGAUGAUGAUCAGGCAUGCAAUCGUAGAGGAAUUAGCUGCAUUCGGAGCGAUUGUGCAUACAUGUUCUCGAACUGAGACUGAGCUCAAUGAUUGCUUACUCGAAUGGAAGGCAAAGGGUUUACGAGUUACCGGUUCAGUGUGUGAUGUUUCGAAUCAAGCUCAAAGGGAAAAUCUACUAAACACGGUUUCUUCUGAGUUUAAUGGGAAGCUUAACAUCCCGGUAAAUUACAGCAAAUAUUUAUGUGUAUGUAUAUAUUGCAAAUUCGUCCUCGAGAUAAGCUUGUUUAAAUCUUUUGAUUUCUCGUGCUCUAAUAUUCAAGCUAGAUCUUGUCAUUUAAUCUUAAUUGGGGUUAAUAAAGUAAUUUUAAUCCAUUUCAUCCAAAAAAUUAAGGGUAAAUUACAAUUGACUUCACCCAAUUAUGGUUUCUUUUCCGGUCACUCGAUUAUAGAAAGUUACAAAAUGACCACCCAACUAUUGGUAAAUUUUUUUUAGACACUUUACUAUAAAAAGUUACAAAAUGAUCAUCUAACUAUUUAAUUUUGUGAUUUUUUAUCACCAGCUGGCUAACGUAAAAAUAGAAACACUCGAAAAUCUAAUAUAGUUGGGUGACCAAAAAAGAAAAAAAACAUAAUAGUUGAGUGACUACAGUGUAGUUUACCCAAAAAUUAAUGAUAAUUGUAACCUUAUAGAAUCAUUUUUUUGUAAGGGGUUGAUGGCGGGGAGGGUCGGGCUUAGUUUGGGCUGGCUUAAACAUAAUGUUGAGAUUUUUAUGCUUGAUUAAAUCGAAUCUAGCAAAAGAUUUGGGUCUAAAAUUUUACCCUAACCUGCCCAUAUUAUAUUUUAAUCAUUUUGAAAAAUAUUUAUAUUAUUUUUAUUUAAUAUUUAAUAGCUUUAUAUAUUUUUUGCAUUUACUAAAAUUUUAUAUAUAGACAUCUUAAUAUUUUUAAUGUUUUUAGUAUUAUAUAUUACUAUAGAUUUUUUUUUUGUGUUGUAAAUUUCAUAAUAUAAUAUAUAUUACAAAUAUAGAGAACGAGCUGAGCCGAGCACGAGUCUUGAAUGCUUGAGCCUGAGCAUGACCCAUAUUUUAAAAAAGGUCUAAUUUUUUUUGUUUAGACCCAUUUUCUGAGCCUAAUACUUUGGGUUGGGUCUUGCAAUUGUAGUCUUAUCAAAUUUUACUCAUAUAUGUAAACUCGAUCCAUUCUACUCGGAUAUGUUCAAUUUAACAAUAAAAAAGUUCAACAUUUUGAACCCAAAUUGACCCGAAGUUGAAAUAACCUAAAAGGACCCAAAUUCAUAAUGAUUCAACACGCAAAAUCCGAGCUUUAUCCCUAAAUGACACAAACCCAAAAUAAAUCGAAAUCGGAAUAACUCUAAUAUGAAAUAAUGUACACCUAAAAUUCACACAAUAAAAUAACUCAAAAUCUUAAAACUUGUACUAACCCAAAUACAACCAACACACAGCUAACCCCAUCCAAUCAAUUAACAAAACUAUCUUCAAAGUGAGAUGUUUUCAAUAUUAUUCUUUUACAAAGUUAUGUUAGUUUUUUUAUCUCUCAAUAUGUUUAUAGUUGAUUGUAUUUAAGAAGUCUUUCUAUUAUAGGAACAUGAUUAAAUUAGUCCCUCUACUAUUAAAUAUAUCAAUUUAGUCCCCAUACUAUUAAAAAGAAUCAAUUAAAGCCUAAUUGAAAUAGAAUUAACAUCUACUGUUUUAAAAAAUAUAAUUUACAAUUUAACAGAGUUAAUCAUUUUAAUUUUUUUACAGAAUUGAAGUGCAAUUGAAUUCUUUUUGUACUAAAGGAUUAAAUUGAUCUAUUUAAUAAUAAGACUAAAUUAAUCUAGUCACUAUUAUACAGGGACCUCCCGUGGAAUUUAACCUAUGUUUAUAUAAAAUUAAUAAAAACUCGGAUUUGAAUUGAAGUCGUAAAAUUUGCAGAUAAAUAACGUGGGAACGAAUAUAGGGAAAAUGGUGACGGAUUACACGGCGGAAGAUGUUUCAUUUUUGACGAGCACCAACUUCGAAUCUGCUUAUAACAUUAGUGUAUUGGCACAUCCCCUUUUGAAAGCUUCCGCCGCUGCAAGCGCUGUGUUUAUUUCUUCUGUUGCUGGUACAUUACCUCUACUUUCUGCGCCUAUAUAUGGAGCCAACAAAGGUAAUAUUCUACAUCUUUUAUAUUUAUAUAAAUUAUUUUUUUUACAUAUUGGAUUUGGAUUUGGAUUUGGAUUUGGAUUUAAAUUCAGUCAUCCUAUUCCUAUUUGGAUUUGGAUUAAUUUCAUAUUUUUCAUAAAAAAAGAAACCCAAAUCCACACGAACUGUUCAGCUCUCAUGUCUAUAUAUUUAUACUUCCAACCUAAUACCUAUAUGAUUAUCUAAAAGAAGAAUGGAGCUUCUUACUUCUGAAGAUUUAAGAACACAAGGAUUCAACCUGAAUGGACUGCUAUGGAUUAUUUGUUAGAAGUUGUGAGAGUCGACCAGGAAAAAAUGCAAGAGCAAACCUUCAUGAAUAAGAAAAAGAAUGGUCGAUUGAAAAGGAAAUGCAAAAUUCAAGAAGAAAAUAACAAGAACAAGAGACCCAUUACCUCUUAUCCACCUAAGCCACUGAUGCCUGAAGGCUUGAAACAACAUAUUGUUGAAAACAUGGGUGGAUCAAAUUGCGCUUUGGUGAUUCAAAAACAACUGUUUUUCUCCGAUGUGAACCCUCAAGCGAGUCGAUUGUUGAUACCGUUUUCGCAAGUCGAAUCCCAUGAGUUCCUCAACAAAUCCGAGGUUGAGCUUUUGAAGAAUAAAGAAGCCAUUAAAGCUUGCUUGGUGGAACCAUCAAUGGAGGAAAUUGAAAUCAACUUUAAAAGGUGGGAUAUGCGCAAAAAGUCAAUGUAUGUCGUUACGACAUCUUGGAAUUCUAUUGUAAAGAACAACAAACUCAAAGCUGAAGAUGUUGUUCAACUCUGGUCGUUCCGAGUCAACUCAACUUUAUGCUUUGUACUUCAAAAACUCUGAUUUGAUUUAACGCCAGGAAAAUGUAUAGUUAAAGUUAUGUAGUUUAUGAUGAUACUCAAUUAUGUUAGGUUAAAUAUUAGUAUUACUUGAAUCAAAAUUAUUGAUUUAUUUUAUUACAUAACCCUCCAAAAAAACAAUGUAAAAAUCUGAUGUUGUCUUCGUCCCUGUGCCUGACUUGAAGACAUAUUAGCAACGGUAACAAAAUCUCUCUUUCAAAGGGCUUAUGUAUAUUUGCUUAUUAUAUAGAAGCAUAAAAUGUAGACCCAAAGGCCUUUUUUACUUUAUUACUCUCUCUUUAACUACAAUUAAAUCAACGGUAACCUAAAUAAAUUCAAUAAUUUGUCUCCAUGCCCUUCAAACCAAUUAUCAACACCAUAAAUUUGUAACACCAAAAUCUCGAUUCGAUUCGAUUUCAGAAAAUCGAAAAAUAUUUUGAAUCUCAAUUUAUUCGAAUUAUUCAAUUCAAGUUUUGAGUUCGAGUUGAGCUAAGUUGAAUUUCUCAAUUCGAAUAACUUGAAUAAUUUGAAUAACGGAUUGAUAUAAAUACACUUUUGGUCCCUCUCAGCUUUGAAAAUCAACAAAUCGGUCUCUUUCACAACAAAAAUUACAAAAAAAAUUAAAGUAAUUUUUCAAUUAAUUUUUAAAAUUUAAAAUAUUUAUAUAAAAUUCGAAAUUUAUAUUUUAAAAAAUUAUACAAAAUUUAAAAAAUUCUAAAAAAUAUAUAAAAAGUUUAAAAUAUAAAAAAUUUCUAAAAUAAUUAUUAUGGGACCUAAUUAAUGAUUCAAAUUUGUCAUACUCAAGUAUCUUAUUAUUAUUUUCAUUGUUUUGCUUUGAAAAAUUUUCCAAAUAUAUAUGGUUUCAAACUUAUAUGCUCUAACAUGAAAUUAGUUAAAAUGUAACAAUAUUUUUAUUUAACAUGUUUAAUUUUUUUAAUUUAACUCGAACAAUUUCACUCGAUUCGACUUGACUCGAAUUUCAUUUCACUCGAUUCGAUUCGAAAAAAAUUUAAAUUAAUUUAGAAUGAUAAAAUAGGACUUGUGAACUCGAAUAACUCGAAAUUUUUCACUCGAUUCGAUCGAAUGCUCACCCCUAAUUACCUUCACAUAACCUAAGGAUAAAACAAUUGUUACAUCACCACAUCCAAAACACUCAACUAACUAAAUACUUUUCUCAAUGUUGAACUCGUUCAGGAACUCAUGCCAUUCAACUUUCGAAAUUGAUAUCAACAAUCAACUCGCUUAAGGGUUCACAUAAGAGAAAAACAGUUAUUUCCGAAUCACCAAAAUGCAUUUUGAUCCUCCCAUAUUUUCCACUAUAUGUUGUAUCCUCCAUAAAAAUUCCUUCUUGCAUUUUUUCUUGGUCAACUCCAACAAAUAAUUCAAAGACCUCCAUUCAGGAUCUAACCCUUGUGCUCCCAAAAUAUUCGCAACUAAGAAAAUCUUACAUAAUUAUGCAACUAUUAGGGUGAAAGUAUAAAUAUAUACCCAUAUAAUGGGUGUGUCUUAAAUUUUUUUUAUCAAUUAAUUUAUCAUAUAUAUUUUAAAAGGUUUAAUAUAAUGAAAAAUCCUUGUAAAAUAAUUUAAUAAUCAACUAAGGCCUCAAUUAAAAACAACAUUCAAUUGAGUCUUUAAUUUUUCUUUUUUGCUCGGCAAUUAAGUCCUUAAUUAAAUAUAAGCAAUCAAUUAAACUCUAAAAAAAAAAAAACAACUUCCAUGUAAACCCUUAAUGAUAGGAGCUCAAUUGAUUAUUUAGUUAUUUUAUAGGGACUUUUCAUUUUAUCAAUCCCUUUAAAGCUAUAGUUUUCGUAAAAAAGACAAAUAUUUUCAUAAUAAUAAUUGUUAUUUUUAAAAUAAAUAUUUUUUUAAUCAUUUAUAAUUGAGUUUGUUUGGUUGACUCGUGAAGUCAAUUCGGUAAAAAAACUUGAAUAUAAUAUAAAUACAGAGAAAAGCUUUGAUGAAUUAGGGGAUGUGUAAUUUGAGAAUGACUUAAAUAUGCGUUUCGGCCUUUGAAUUUUGAUUCACUUUGGUGUCGGGUUUUUAGAAACAAGUACAUGAGUAAUGUUGCUUUCUUGAGUGAUGAAGUUAAGCCAAAUGUUUCCUCCACUUGGAGAGCUUUAUGAGAUAGUGGCCAAGGGUUGUAAAUGGGAAGUAGGGGAUGUUCAAAUAUUCGGUUCAGGUUCGAUUGGUGGGUGGGACAAUGACCGUUGAAGGAUAAUCAAAACACGAACCAAUCGGAGAAUGGUCUCGGAUUAUAUCUCGAAUGAGGGUUCGUGCCAAUCCCUUGCGUGAAUAGAGAGGUUGUUAAAGACUCUUCUUGUUGGGGGUUGGAGACUUCUGGUAGAUUUUUGGUAGGCUCAGCUUAUUAUAUGCCAGCAAAAAUGGAGUUCUAUAGCAAUAGUGACAUGAGGUCCAGAGUGAAUCCAUUUUUUCAUAGGGCUUGCUUAGCUAAAUCACUAACGACAUUAUCGAAUUAGUACUAUUUUAUAAUGAUAUAUUGCAUCUACAAACAAUUAUAUUAAUCUAAUUUGAAAAUAAAUGUAAGUAUUCAUUACUUUAGAUGAGACAGUUGAAUCAAAAUCAAAGUUUCUUGUAUACAUAUGAAUCACAAUUCAAGUUUCAUAUGAAUAAUUGCACCAAAUCAAAAUUUAUGUAUCAAAUUGCACAUUAGACCAAAGCUCAUAUAUGAACUUGAUAUUCAUUCCAAAAAUAAUAUUAAAGUUUGGAUUAAAGGGUGGCUAUGAAUCCUCUGUUGGUAAUGCAAAGGGUUGGUGUUAGUGGGUAUAUCCCAUAUUGUUUAAAUACAAAUGUUUUUAUAUAAUUGUACUUCUUAGUCUCAUUGAGCAAUUGGGCUAUAGGCUUAUUACAUGUUUUUUUCUUUUCAAAAGACUUAUUUUUUCCACAUAGUUACUAUUUCGAAAAAUCUAGGAAUUUUCGGAUGUUCGAAUGGAAAUAGUGGGGGUAGUUUCAGUGCUUUUAUUUAUUUAUUUAUUUAUUUGCCCCUGCCUUUUUAUCAUUUUCCCUUAUGUUACUAGUAUAAAUAGAGGGCUGAUUUCCUCAUUUUCUUUUACACUGAAUAGAAACACAACCCUCUCUAAAAAACAUUCCUCUCCUCCGCUUUCUGUCUUUGAUUUCUUUAUAAAUUGUCUUUUUUUCCUUAAUCACUUUAGAGGAAAUUCUGUCUAGGAGUUUGGGUUUUAAGUGGGAUCGAAAUCACUGAACCUUUCAGAAAAAAAUAAUUUAAUCACUGAAAUCAGAAAAAAAAAAACUUAAUACAUAAUUUGGUACUUAAGUUUGACACUUUUUUCUAAUGUGGUACAUGUGUUGUUUUUUGGUCUAAUUUGGUACAUGUAUUUGAUAAAAGUUAUACAUUCUGGUACCUAAAGGUAAGAAUGCUAAUUUUUUUAGUGUUUAAUUUAGGUUUUAAAAUUGAUUUGAUUAAAAUUUAUAAUUAGCUAAUAAUAUUAACAGUUAACUUUCACAAAAUCAAUCCUAUAACUUUAAUUAAACCACAAUCAUCGGACUAUAUUUAACAAAUUAAAUAAAUGUUACAGGCCAAUUUCAGGCUGUUUACAAAUACCCAAACCCGGUUGGCCCAUUACAAUACCCCUAACCUAUUUAUAACUAUCACCCAUUUAACCCAUUUACAAAUUUAACCCAAUACCCACCAAACCCCAAAACCCAAUCACAUUAAACCAAAUACCCCAAGCCCAGUUACUAAACCCGAAUGGCCCAUUUACAUUACAAUGCCCUUUAGCCCAACUAACCCUAGCCCAAUUAGCCCAAUACCCAAAAUCAAAAGAAAAAAAAACCAAAACACCUAACCCUAAUCAGCCUUUAGCCGCAACCACCCUCCCCACUUGCCCCCGACUGUCAGUCUCUGCCACCACCAUACCAGCCCAUGCCACUGUCACCUCCACCGUUCAACCACCCUGCAAAGACAAAGCAGAACACGCAACAGCAAAACAGAGAAACAAAAAGUGUAUAAAAAUCGAAUGUAAACCAUAAAAUAGGGAUUCGGCAAAUUUUUGAUAAAAAAGAAAAAGCAUUCAAUUUUAAAAAACACAAAAAUAGAAUAUCAAUUCCAAUGAUACUAAAUCAAGCAUAAUACCAAAUCAGAAGCCCCAAGAUACUGAAAUCGAAAGUUUAAAACCUAAGGUAAUUUCUUUUUUUUUUUCUUAUUUUAAUUUCGUUUUUUUUAAACCUAUUUUCUCAUCUUUACCUACUAAAACACAUAAAAAAUAUAACACAAAAAUAAAUAAAAAAGGGGGAAAAACAGUGGCCGGCGCCGGCACCGGCGAAGGUCCGGUGACCGCCCCCCUUGGCCGGAGAUCCUCUCCUCUCCCCUUCUCUCCCUUUUUUUUUUCCUUUCCCCUUUCAACUGAUUUUUUUUUAAAAAAAAUUGUCUUUUAUAGGGACCAAAACUCAAAAACGACGUCGUUUUGGCCCCGGGUCGGGUCGACCCGACCCGCUCCGAUCAGGAUCCGCGUGUUUUUUAAACGGAAGGGAUAUUUUCGAAUUUAGCCCUUCCGCUUUUUCAUGCAUUUACAAUAAGGUUUUUCGCUUUUAAUUUGGCCCUGGAUUCUGUUGAGUUUUACAAUUUAGCCCCUGGCCAUGCGCAUCGUCUUAAAUGAUUUGGGUAAAUUUUGAUUUUGGUCCCUCUAAGUCACGCGCGCGUUACAAUUCGGCCCCGUAUCCUAUUUUAUUUCAAAUUUCGCCCCAAAAUUUUGUUUUAUGCUCGAUUUAGUCCUUUUGUUAGUUUACUGUUUAUUUUCAAAUUAUCUUGUUAUUAUUUUCUGUUAUUUAUUAUUAUUAAUUAUAAUCUAUAUACUUAUUAUAUUGUAUUAUUUGCAAGUAGUAGUGUAUACUUGUUAUGUACGUAUACGUAUAUGUAUAUUUAUUGAUGGUGUUCCUUUAUACUUUAUUUUAAUAUUUUUAUCAUAUUUGCCUUUUUAUAUAUUUCAAUAUUAUUAUUAUCAUUAUGUAUUAGUGUAUAAUCUUUUAUAUAUGUAUGUGUAUUUAAUAUACUGAUGUAUUAUAUUAUAUAGAUAUUUAUACGUUAUAUAUGCUUUUAAUAUUACAUUUUAUAUAUUAUUAUGUAUAUUUUUAGUAUAUAUAUAUUUGUGAAAUAUUAUCAAUAGUUUAUUUUUUAUUAUUAUUUUUUUAAUAUGUAUAUAUUGUGUAUAUAUUUUAACACUACAUUAUAUAUAUUUUUAUAUUAUACAUAUAUUUCAAAUAUUAUAUAUUAAGUAUUUCUAAUAUCCUUAUUAUUUAUACUCAUACGUACGUGUCUAUGUAUCGUAUUAAUAAAUUCAUUUUAUUGUUAUCGUUUCUAAAGUAUAUGUACAUAUCAUCUAUGUGUUAUAUAUAUAUAUAUUUUCAAUAUUAUUAGUUAUAUUUCUAUAUAUACUAUUCCCAUGUAUAUAUUAUUACAUUUAUUUUAUUCCUAUUAUAUUUAUUAUUAGUACAUAUAUUUUAGUAUGCGUAUAUAUAUAUUUUUUAUAGUAUUAUUUUCAUAUGUUAUUAUACUCAUUAAUUUACUUAUUAUUUUCCAUAUUGUCACUUAUGAUCUUAAUAUUAUUAUAUGUUAUUUGGUGUACAUAUAUCUUUUUAUUGUUACUAUUUUUACUAUUAUUAUUAGUAUAGGUCUGUUAUAUAUGUAUAUUGUAUAUGUUCAUUUUAAAUAUGUUAUGUAUAUAUAUAUUAUGUACCCAUAUUAGUAUUAUUAUGUAAACCUUUUUCAUUCCUAUUUUACGUACAUAUUCUCAAUGUCAUUAUUACGUAUAUACACCCAUUUUUUCAUUUCAUAUUUAAUUCUAGUAUUACAUAUAUCUUUAUUGUUUAUAAUAUUAUUGUCACACUUAUAUUUGCUUCAAUAUAUUUCUAGAUUUGUCUUUUAUUUAUUUUUAUUUAUUAAUUUGCUUUGCAUUAUUUCAAAAAUCUUAUUCUUGUUUUUUUAAUAAAUAAGGCAAUGUAUCGAUUUAACAUUAAGCCGUAGAUUUCAUCGCUAUGUUGGAUGGAAUUUGUCGGCUCGUGUUAAAGACGGAACACCCUUCUGAAAAAUCAAAAAACUAAGAUUUCUCGUCUUUUCAAUCGGAUCACGACUAAAUGUUACAUUGAAUUCGCAUUUUUGAAAAUCAAGACAACACGUGUUUUAUAAGAUACCAAUUUUGGGCGUCGCGAGGGUGCUAAUACCUUUCUCGCGCGUAACCGACUCCCGAACCCUAAUUUUUUUCUCUGGAUUUUCACGUAGACUUAAAUUUGGUCUUCAUUUUUUCUCAAAAAAAAAGAUGAUUUAUUAGGUGUCCGAUCACACCUAGGAAAAAGGAUCGGUGGCGACUCCUCUUUAUUUUAAAAUCAAAUUUUUUACUAAAUCGCCACAAUUAGCGACCAAGCUAAAGAUUUUACAUCGCUACAAUAAAUUUACAACUAAGACUAAAUUUACUCUAUUAACAAAAUCAUGAAGAAAAACUAAUAAUAUAAGCACUUAACUUUCCUCAAAUCAAUUCUAAAACCCGAAUUAAACACUUAAAUAUUACAUUAGAAAAAGAAUAUUGAUCUCGAAUACCAAAUGAUAUAUUAAGCUUUUCUUCUUCAUAAAAGAAUGGUAAUCGUUGGAUUUUAUAGGUCUGAUUUGCUCAAAGAGUCGGUUAGAGGAGAAAAAUCGAUUAAAUAAUUAUAAAUCUUCUACUAUUUUUUGUUUUAUUCAAUGAUGAUGUGCCAUAUUAUUAUUUCACUAAUGAUGUAUUAAAUAUUAUUUUUAUGUAUCUUUAUUAUUAUAAAACUCCUAAAUGAAUUUGAUAUCACGAGUUAAAAACAUACAAAUUGAAUAAACAAAAAUCCAAAAGAAAAAUUAAAAUUCAAAAUUAAUGUUUUCUUGAGUGAUGAAGUUGAGCCAAAUGUUUCCUCUACUUGGAGUGGUUUAUGAGAUAGUGGCCAAGGGUUUUAAAUGGGAAAUAGGCGAUGGUUCAAAUAUUUGGUUCAGGUUCGAUUGGUGGGUGGGACAAUGAUCAUUGAAGGAUAAUCAAAACAUGAACCAACCGGAGAAUGGUCUCCGAUUAUAUCUCAAAUGAGGGUUCGUGGUGGUGCCAAUCCCUUGCGUGAAUAGAGAGGUUGUUAAAGACUCUUGUUGUUAGGGUUGGAGACUUCUGGUAGAUUUUCAUAGGGCUUUCUUAGCUAAAGCACUAACAGCAUUAUCGAAUUAGCACUUUUUUAUAAUGAUAUAUUGUAUCUACAAACAGUUAUAUUAAUGAAAUUUGAAAAUAAAUGUAAGUAUUCAUUACUUUAGAUGUGGCAAUUGAAUCAAAAUAAAGUUUCAUGUAUACAUAUGAAUCACAAUUCAAGUUUCACGUGAAUAAUUGCACUUAAUCAAAAUUUAUGAAUCAAAUUGCACAUUAGACCAAAGCUCAUAUAUAAACUUGAUAUUCAUUCCAAAAAUACUAUUAAAGUUUGGAUUAAAUGGUGGCUAUGAAUCCUCUGUUGGUAAUGCAAAGGGUUGGUGUUGUGGGUAUAUCCCAUAUUGGUUAAAUACAAGCUAUUAAGAGUUUUUAUAUAAUUGUACUUUUUACUCUCAUUAAGCAAUUGGGCCAUAGGCUUAUCACAUGUUUUUUCAAGAGUCUUAUUUUUUCCACAUAGUUACUGUGCCAAAAAAUCUAGGAAUUAUUGGCUAUUUGGACGAAAAUAGUGAGGAUAGUUUUAGUGGUUUUUUUUACUCCUUUGCCCCUGCCUUUUUAUCGUUUUCCCCUUAUGUUAACAUUCCUCUCCUCCGCUUUCUGUCUGUGAUUUCUUUAUAAAUUGUCUUCUUUUCCUUAAUCACUUUAGAGAAAAUUAUGUCUACGAGUUUGGGUUUUAAGCGGGAUCAACUAUGACCCCUCUAAACUUUCUUACGAAUUGUUCCUACUAUAAUUUCCUGAGAAGAGCAACACCAAUCUAGUUCCAUCUUCCAUAAUCAGGUGUACAAAUAUCGAAGGACUGUGUUAACCUUGGAGGAUGAGAUCCAUUACAUGAUUACACCGAUCACGGUGAAUUCGUUUUUAAGACGAUGGAUUUACCCCGACGCAAUAAUUUUUUAUUUCAUAUUUCGUUAUUUAUUUUCCAGUAAGUGCUAACAGAUUUUUUUUACAAUAACUUAUUUCCAACAUCCUCUUGCUCAUUUCCCAAACAGGUCUUAUACAUCACAACUUACAAACAACGUACACAUUUGAGUUGGCUCGUGGCUCAUGGCUCAUGUUGUUUUGUAAUUUGAUUUGGAAAACAGAGGCCAUUCACAGUGAUCCCACCAUCAACAAAAAUAAGCUGCCCUGUUACAUAUGAAGCCGCCGGUAGGCACAAGAAAGCAACCAUAGCCGACACUUCCUUUGGCUCACCGGCCCGUCCUAAUGGUGUUCGGCUUAUGAUUGCAUUUUUUCCUUCUUCAUUAUCUUCAGAAAACUGCAAAAAUAAUAUAUCAAUGUAUCUAUUAUGUCUAUAGUUGUCUAAUUAUGAUGACAACUAAAUGUCGAGUCCUAAUAAAUGUAACACAAAGUUAUUUGGAUUUGAUUAGAAAUAGGUUCAAAAUAUUUUUUAUCAUUAUCGAGUCAAACUAUCGAGCCCGCUGAUUUGAAUAUCUUAAUUAUUUAAAAGUUUAAUCAAGUUUUUAAGGUAAAUUGCACCCAAAGUCACUAAACUAUAGUAAGUUUAUGUUUUAGUCACUCAACUUAAAAAAGUUACAAAAUGAUCACUAAACUAUUCAAAAGUUUUGAUUUUAGUCACUGGACUGUUAAAAUCGUUGUGGUAUAGGUUUCUUUGUUUGCGCCACUUGCACCAAUCAAAAGUUCUCCUUCCCCUUCUUUUCUACAAUUCAACCCUUUUUUUUUUGCCAUGAAACAGCUUUGAAAAUCACAAAUCUACAAACCAAAAUCCAGACAACUUUCUUCUCCGAUAUCCAACACUGACCACCAGAUCGACUUGGAUCCAAGGUAUGUUCUUCUACUCAUCAAUGGGUACUGACCCACUGUACCAAUCAUCAAAUCGUCGCUUGGAGCUUCCUAGCUGAUUUAUUUUUUUUUUUUAAAAAAAAAACUUAACAACCUAGUGACUUAUAUCAAAUUUUUUGAUAGCUUAGAAACUUAAAUGAAAACUUUCAAAUAGUUUAAUAACCAUUUUGUAACCUUUUGAAGUUGAGUGACCAAAAACGUGUAUUUACUAAUUGUUUAAUGACCUUGGGUGUAGUUUAUCCUUUUUUUAAGAUUAUAUAUUUUUAUUAGUAAUUGAAAAAUCUCAAUCCAAUCUUGAACUUCUAACAUAAAUUAUAGAUUUUGUUUCAAUAAAAUUUCAAUGACUGAGAAAAAAAGAGAAUUACAUAGUUUGAAUUCAAGAAUAAGAAUCGAGUCCAUUUCAUAUUAGGUGAACAAGUCUAAUCAAGUAAGUUUGAGUAACUCGUUUUUUUUUAAUUCUCGAAUAGAACUGAAACUUUAAAAAUGAAAUUCAAUCAAGCUCGAACCGGGUUUUGAAAUUUCAGUUGAACUCAAGCUCCUUACAGCACGAGUUUGUUCAAGACCGAUUAAAAGUUUAUUGGGACGGAGAGAGUAUAAAAGAUAAGCAUAAGGAAGAGUUUCUUACACGUUGAGAGAGGGGAGUUUUGAUGAGUGCUGGUGCAAUGGCAUUAACCCUAAUAUUAUCUCCUGCCCAGUCACAAGCUAAGAAUUUCGAAAGAUGAUCCAUGGCCCCUGCAACAAAAUCAGACAAUUUUAGAGGGACUAAAGCACAAAUUUUCCAUUUGAAGGGGCCAAGGCUUUACCUACCACCUGCUUAUAUAUGUGGUUAAUUGUAUUGAACAUUCUCAAAUUAUCACUAAGAUUUUAAAUUGGUCCUUGAACAAAAAAAAUAUUUUAAUUGAGUUUUCAAAGUAUUAGUAUUAUAUUAAUCAAGUCUUUUCGUCAGUUUGGAUAUCAAUUUAGGCAUUAAAUGAUAGUUCAGAUCUGACAUGGUAUAUAUUUAAAAUACAUGAAUCAAAUUGGGAACAUAUUACAUUCAUGUUGUUUGCACGUAAUUAAAAUUGAACCAUACGUUUUAAAUAUACUCUACACUAUAUUUGAGCUGGCAAUUAACACCUAAGCUACUAGUUAAGUUUCAGAAGGACCUUAUUGAUAUGAUAGUGAUAUUUUAAAGACUCGAAAAGAAAGUUUUGAAGUUCUAAUGCCAAUUUAAAAUCUAGACUACAAUUUUAGUACGCCUUGAACUUGACAACACUCCAACUUUGGUCUCUAAACUUUUUUUUGGUCCAUAUUAGUCCCUGAACAUGACAUCUUUUCUCAAUCUAGUCCUCAAACUUGGAUUUUGUUAGGGAUGAUGGUGUGGAACUCUGAUAUUGGUCCCUAAACUUGUAGCUUUAAGAUUUUAUACAAUUUUUUUUAAUUUCUUAGGUGAUGACAUGACACAAUCUUAAAGUCGUACAUUAUCACACCUUAAUUGAACUAAGUUCAUGGACCAAAUAAGAAAAAAAGAUUACUAAGUUUUGGGAUUAAUGUGGACCAAAAAAGGUUCAAUGACCAAAUUGAAAAAUACCAAGUUCAAAGACUAAAUAUUGCUUUAUCCCAAAAAUAAAAUAAAAUACAAUAUGUAAAAAAAUAAUUUUAUAAAUAUAAAACGUGUAGAAUAUUACCUUUGUUGGCUCCAUAUAUAGCCGUAUUAAAUACAGGUAAUGUACCAGCAAUAGAAGAGAUAAACACAACGCUUGCAGCGGCGGAAGCUUUCAGAAGGGGAUGUGCCAAUACACUAAUGUUAUAAGCAGAUUCGAAGUUGGUGCUCGUCAAAAAUGAAACAUCUUCCGCCGUGUAAUCUGUCACCAUUUUCCAUAUAUUCGUUCCCACGUUAUUUAUCUGCAAAUUUUACGAGUUCAAUUCAAAUCCAAAUUUUUAUUAAUUUUAUAUAAACAUAGGUUAAAUUCCAUGGGAGAUCCCUGUAUAAUAGGGACUAGAUUAAUUUAGUCCUAUUAUUAAAUGGAUCAGUUUAGUCCCAUUAGUACAAAAAGAAUUCAAUUGCACUUCAAUUCCAAACAAAAUGUUUCAUUUACAAAGCCAUAAAAAAAUUAAAAAUAUUAACUCUGUUAAAUUGUAAAUUAUAUUUUUUAAAGCAGUAGAUGUUAUAUCUAUUUCAAUGAGGCCUUAAUUGAUUCUUUUUAAUAAUAGAGGGACUAAUUUAAUCAUGUUUCUAUAAUAGCGGGACCUCUUAGAUACAUUCAACUAUAAACACAUUAAAAGAUAAAAAAUCCUCGUAAUAACAUAACUUUGUAAAAAAUAUAAUAUUGAAAACAUCUCACUUUGAAGAUAGUUUUGUUAAUGGAUUGGAUUGGGUUAGUACAAGUUUUAAAUCUUUGAGUUAUUUUGGUUUGUGUGAAUUUUAGGUGUACAUUAUUUCAUAUUAGAGUUAUUUCAAUUUCGAUUUAUUUUGGGUUUGUGUCAUUUAGGAUAAAGCUCAGGUUUUGCGUGUUGAAUUAUUUAUGGAUUUGGGUCCUUUCAGGUUAUUUCAGCUUCAGGUCUAUUUAGGUUCAAAAUAUUGAACUUUUUUAUUGUUAAAUUGAACAUAUUCAAGUAGAAUGGAUCGAAUUUUCAUAUUUAAGUAAAAUUUAAUAGGAGAACAAUUGCAAAACCCAACCCAAAAUAUUAGGUUCAAAAAAUGGGUCUAGACAAAAAAAUUAGACCAAUUUAAAAUAUGGGCCUUGCUCAGGCUCAAGCAUUCAAGACCCAUGCUCGACUCAACUCGUUCUCUAUGUUUGUAAUAUUUAUUAUAUUAUGAAAUUUACAACACAAAAAAAAAAUUAAAUCUAUAGUAAUAUAUGAUACUAAUAACAUUAAAAAUAUUAAGAUGUCUAUAUAUAAAAUUUUAGUAAAUGCAAAAAAAUAUAUAAAGCUAUUAAAUAUUAAAUAUUAAAUAAAAAUAAUAUAAAUAUUUUUCAAAAUAAUUAAAAUAUAAGAUGGGUAGGCUAGAGUAAAAUAUUAGGCUCAUAUUUUUUGCUAGGUUCAAUUUGAACAAGUAUAAAAUAUAUCAAUAUCAUGUUUAAACCCAGCCCAAACUCAGCCCGGCCCUCCUAGCCAUCAACACCUCUAACCCCACCUAAAAUUUACUAGAUAGUUUAUAUCAUAUUUGAUCUCCCUUGAAAAAUUUUUUUGAUUCUAUAAGGUUACAAUUAUCAUUAAUUUUUGGGUAAACCACAUUGUAGCCACUCAACUAUUAUUUUUUUUCUUUUUUGGUCACCAAACUAUCUUGGAUUUUCGAGUGUUUUUUUUUUUACAUUAGCCAGCUCGUGACAAAUAAUUACAAAAUUAAAUAGUUAGGCGGCCACUUUGUAAAUUUUCAUAGUUGAGCGACCAAAAACAAUUUAUUAAUAGUUGAGUGGUCAUUUUGUAACUUUCGAUAAUUGAGUGACCGAAAAAGAAACCAUAGUUGGGUGAAGUCAAUUGUAAUUUACCCUUAACUUUUUGAUGAAAUGUAUUAAAAUUACUUUAUUAACCCCAAUUAAGAUUAAAUGACAAGAUCUAGCUUGAAUAUUAGAGCACAAGUAAUCAAAAGAUUUAAACAAGCCUAUUUCGAGGAUGAAUUUGCAAUAUAUACAUAAACAUAAAUAUUUGCAGUAAUUUACCAGGAUGUUAAGCUUCCCAUUAAACUCAGAAGAAACUGUGUUUAGUAGAUUUUCUCUUUGAGCUUGAUUCGAAACAUCACACACUGAACCGGUAACUCGUAAACCCUUUGCCUUCCAUUCGAGUAAGCAAUCAUUGAGCUCAGUUUCAGUUCGAGAACAUGUAUGCACAAUCGCUCCGAAUGCAGCUAAUUCCUCUACGAUUGCAUGCCUGAUCAUCAUCGUAUUAAUUGCACAAUACUUGGUUUGUCACAUUGACAUAAAAACAAACACGUUGAAGACAAUAAUAAUAAAGGGAAAAAAAAGUAACCAUUUCGUGUGGAUUUCCACUAGAUUCACAUCAAAUCUGUGUCUCAACACGAAAAUAAGAUUUUCCCUUUAAGUGUGGUGUUGUGUUUUAGUUAUUUUUCUCGUGUUAUUUUUAUGGGUAAAUUAUAUUUAAGGUCAUUAAACAAUUAAUAAGUUUACAUUUUGAUUAUUGAAUUUCAAAAGUUACAAAAUAGUUAAUGAACUAUUCGAAAGUUUUCAUUUUAAGUCACUAGGCUAUUAAAAUCGUUGUUAUAUGACUUUCUCUGUUCGAAAGUUUUUUUCCCCUUUUAUUCUACACUUCAGUUUUUUUUUUUAUAAAACAACUUUAAACCUCAAGAAUUUUAGAUCGAUUUAGAUCUAAUGUAUGUUUUUCUACUCAUUAAUGGGUACUAAUUCACAUACCAGUCGACGAAUUGUCGCUUAAAACUCGUUAGUCGAUCUUUUAAAAAAAAAACUUAAUAACCCAAUAACAAUAACCAUUUUUUACCUUUUUAAAAUUAAAUAAUCAAAAUGUAAAGUUAUUAAUACUUUAGUCACAUUAGGUAUAGUUUACCCUAUUUUUAUCGAAUAGGAAGAGGAAAGUACCCGAUGCCUUUGGUACCACCGGUGACAAGUGCAGUCAUGCCGUGAAGACUCCAUCUUUUGUCUUUGCUACACCCCUCUGCUUCUCCCAUUUUGCUUACUUUCUCACCUUCCUUUUUUAUGGUGCUUCAUAUAUAUGUGUACAUAUAUAUAUAUGGAUGGAUGGAUAAUAUGCUGUAAAUCAGAAUUGUUUUCAACCACAGAACGAGAUUCAUCAUGUACCAUUUAUCUUCAAAUCAAGGUUAUAUUCUGUCAUUAGUCCCUGUAUUUUGUAAAAGUUAUGAAUUUAAUCCCUAUACUUUUAUAUGAUAUUUUUAGCUCUUGCACUCUCCAAAUUUUAAUAUUUCAGUCAUUACCAAAUAAUAACUAUUAAAUUCAUUAAGUAAAGUUAUGCUAUUUCUAAAAUUCGAUGUGCCAAUAUAUAUUAUUAUAUGUGUAAUGUCAUGUCAAUUUAUCUACAUAAAAAUUCAGUUAGUAGAUUAACGACUCUAAUUUGUGUCAAGAUUAAAAUUGCAAAAUACGAAAAGUGUAAGGACUUAGAAAUACCCAAUUGAAAAAAAUAGACUAAAUCUAUAAUUGUACGCAUAAUACAUAACUAGUAAUUGAAUUUACUCAUUAGCCAUUAACGGUGGUAAGUAGCUUCAACAUCCAUAAUUUAAGGGUAAAUUACAUCAGUAGUCAUUUAAUUAUUAGUAUUUUUUCUAUCAUCUAAUUAUGAAAAGUUAUAAAAUUGUUACUUAAUAAAUUUCAUUUUUUGUUACCCAACCAUGAAAAGAUACAAAAUGGUCUCCCAACCAUUCAAUUUUGUUUUUGUUUGUCGCCAACUAGCUGAUAGUGGCGGCUUUUAAAAUUGGCAUAGUAACUAUUUUAACCCUCAAUAUUUAAACAUUGUGUCAAUUUAGUCUUGAUUCUAAAAAAUCUACCCCUCAACAUUUACACAUUAUGUAAUUGGGUCUUUUUUACAAGUUCGAUUUUUUUUGUGACCCUUUUACCUAAAAACCUAAAAAAAUUUAUCAGCUAAAUUUGAUUGAAAAUUUACAAAAAAAAAAUGGAAACACUCAAAAAUCCAAGAUAAUUUUCAUUCUUUUAAAAUUAAUACUUAAUGCCACAAAAAAUUUUACAUUUAUCACUUAACCUUUCAAAAAAAGAUAAUUUAAUCACUGAAAUCAGAAAAAAAAACUUAAUACAUAAUUUGGCACUUAAGUUUGACACUUUUUUCUAAUGUGGUACAUGUGUUGUUUUUUGGUCUAAUUUGGUACAUGUAUUUGAUAAAAGUUAUACAUUCCGGUACCUAAAGGUAAGAAUGCUAAUUUUUUUAGUGUUUAAUUCAAGUUUUAGAAUUGAUUUGAUUAAAAUUCAUAAUUAGCUAAUAAUAUUAACAAUUAACUUUCACAAAAUCAGUCCUAUAACUUUAAUUAAACCUCAAUCAUCAGACUAUAUUUAACAAAUUAAAUAAAUUUACAACUAAAACUAAAUUUACUCUAUUAACAAAAUUAUGAAGAAAAACUAAUAAUAUAAGCACUUUACUUUCCUCAAAUCAAUUCUAAAACCCGAAUUAAUCACUCAAAUAUUACAUUAGAAAAAGAAUAUUGAUCUCGAACACCAAAUGAUAUAUUAAGCUUUUCUUAUUCAUAAAAGAAUGGUAAUCGUUGGAUCUUAUAAGUCUGAUUUGCGCAAAGAGUGCUUUAGAGGGAGAAAAUCAAUUAAAUAAUUAUAAAUCUUCUACUUUUUUUUGUUUUAUUCAAUGAUGAUGUGUCAUAUUAUUAUUUCACUAAUGAUGUAUUAAAUAUUAUUUUUGUGUAUCUUUAUUAUUAUAAAACUCCUAAAUGAAUUUGAUAUCACGAGUUAAAAACAUACAAAUCAAAUCAACAAAAAUCCAAAAGGAAAAUUAAAAUUCAAAAUUAAUGUUUUCUUGAGUGAUGAAGUUGAGCCAAAUGUUUCCUCUACUUGGAGAGGUUUAUGAGAUAGUGGCCAAGGGUUUUAAAUGGGAAGGAGGGGAUGGUUCAAAUAUUCGGUUCAAGUUCGAUUUGUGGGCGGGACAACGACCGUUGAAGGAUAAACAAAACAUGAACCAAUCGGAGAAUGGUCUCCGAUUAUAUCUCAAAUGAGGGUUCGUGGUGGUGCCAAUCCCUUGCAUGAAUAGAGAGGUUGUUAAAGACUCUUGUUGUUGGGGGUUGGAGACUUCUGGUAGAUUUUUGGUAGGCUCUGCUUAUUAUAUGCCAGCAAAAAUGGAGUUCUAUAGCAAUAGUGACAUGAGGUCCGGAGUGAAUUCGUUUUUCAUAGGGCUUGCUUAGCUAAAGCACUAACAGCAUCAUCAAAUUAGCACUUUUUUAUAAUGAUAUAUUGCAUCUACAAAUAAUUAUGUUAAUACAAUUUGAAAAUAAAUGUAAGUAUUCAUUACUUUAGAUGUGACAAUUGAAUCAAAAUCAAAGUUUCUUGUAUACAUAUGAAUCACAAUUCAAGUUUCACGUGAAUAAUUACACCAAGUCAAAAUUUAUGUAUUAAAUUGCACAUUAGACCAAAGCUCAUAUAUAAACUACUUGAUAUUCAUUCCAAAAAUAAUAUUAAAGUUUGGGUUAAAGGGUGGCUAUGAAUCCUCUGUUGGUAAUGCAAAGGGUUGGUGUAACCGCCCAAUUUAGACCCUAAUCGGAACUGUGGUUUUAGGACCACAAAUCCGAGUCAGAAAAAUAUUUUAAAAUUAUUUUCUGUGUUUAUUUUGUGUGAAUUUAUAUUUGUGAAAUUUUCGUGAUUUAAUUUUGUCGUUUAGGUGUCUGAUUAAAUAAAAGGACUUAAUCGCGUAAAUUCAAAAUUUGAUGGUUUUAAGUAUAAGGGUCAAAUUGAUGUUGGCUUAUUGAGUGGGAGACUUUAAGUUGUAAAUAGGCCAUUAUUAAAAUGGGUGAACGGUAAUGGACAAUAAUAAGUGAAAAUAAAAUGUUUAAAACUAAGGUUAAAAAGGUAAAAUAAUGUUAAGUUAUUAUAUAACAUAUAACAUAAAAAUAUAUUAAGUUAUGUUCAUAUAUCAACAUCCACCGAAACCAUAAAUAAGAAAGAAAAAGAAAAAGAACUAGGGUUCGGCCAUUUUGCAAGCUAAAUUCAAGAUCAAGAACAAAGGAAAUCAGACUUGGAUCGGGGAAAAACAAAAAUAGUCGAAUAGCCGAUUUGUAACAUCCGUCGAUAUCCGAGGUAAGUCUUUAAGCAGUUAAACAUGGUUUAUUUUGAACAUAGAAUGAUUUACUAUGAUGAUUCAAAAUUUUUUAAUGUAUUAGUAUGUUAGCCGAAUGAGAAAUAUUGAUGAAUCAAUGUGAUUGAGUUGUAUUUGAAUGACAUCAAAACAUCUGGAAGUGUGUAUGUGUUACAUGGGUUAUUGUACAAUUCGAUAUAUGAAAUGUUGUGGAAUGAGUUUAUAUUUGUGAUAUUCGGGCUUUGAGCCUAGCAAGCCUUGUGCUGGUGACUUUGAUCGGGCUUUGUGCCUAGCAGGCUUAGUGCCGGUGAAUAAAUAUCAGACCUUGGGUCUAGCAGGCUUUGUGCCGGUGUGUGAUUCAGGCUUAUGCCUAGCAGGUUUUAUACCGGUGAUUUAUUUUAAGUCUAUGUCUAUAAGACUUCACAUUGAUGUGGAAAGUGAGCAAGUAAGUUGAUCUAAAUGACUUUUAUAUUUGGCCACAUAAGUAUGUACAUGUGAGGUCAUAUUGAGUUUGUAUAUUCGGCUGCUUGUGAAGUUAUAUUGAACUUGUAUAUUCAAUUUCAUAUGAGGUUAUAUUGAAUUUGUAUAUUCGGCCAUAUGAGAUAUUUUAUUGAACUUGAACAUAGGUUACAUGUGAUGACAAUUUGAACUUAUAUAUUCGGCCAUAUGAGAUAAUAUAAUGAACCUUGUGUAUUUGGCUAUAUAGGUAAGUUUUUAUGAGAUGAUAUAUUGGAUCUUAUAUAUUUUCGAUUAUAUAGGUAAGUAUUUAUGUGGUGUUAUUAUUGACCUUGAACAUUCGACCAAGUUAACUUAUUUGAGUUAAAGUAUAACUUUAAUGGUACGAUUCGACUUGUAUGAAAUGAUUUGAUUAUUUACUUGAGUUGUUUAAAUUGCUUAAGGCUUACUAAGCUAAGUUGGCUUACUCUAUGUGUGUUUUUAUUACUCUGUUUUAUAGAUUUUGGUUGUAAGUUUCAAGCUCAGAGAUCGUGAUCGAAGUCAUCCACACUAUCGUCAACUUUCGGUAUUAUUAAAAGUUUAUUUUGAAACUUAUGGCAUGUAUAGGCUAAUAUGUAUUUUGUUCAACUUUGAAUGUGUAUAUAUAUCGAGCCAUGCGAAUAUGGCUUAUCUUUAAAGUUUGAAUUAUGUUUGGCAAUGGUUUAUCUCAUUUUGAUUUUAAUGUUAUGUGAAAUGAAUGAAAAGUAUAUGUGAUUAGUGUUUUAUGAUUUAGAAAUAGCUUGAAAAUGAUUAUUGGAUUUGGUUGUACUUAAUAAAUUGGUCAUGGUAUGUAUAAAUGUGGUUAGUCAAUUCGGUUAUGGUACAUGUUUGGUUAAUUAUAAAUGUGAAUUCGUAUACUAAGCUUGUUUAACGCAUAUUUUGAAUGACAUGAUAUAGGAUAUGUUUUGUGUUAAUGAAUAGAAUUUAGUUCGGUUUGCAUGUAAGUGUAUAUGUAUUUAAAGUGAUUAAUUGUUUAAUAUAGAUUGUAAGUGAGAAAAAGAUAUCUACCAAAUGAAUAGUGAUUCGAGUAAUAAUGUACUAUGGGAGUUAUAUGAAUUUUUAAUAAGAUGUUAAUUAUAUAUAUUUAUAUACAUGUACAUGUUGUGUAUUCGAUGAAGCUUGACAUAAUGGUUUGGUUUAUAAUGAAAGUAUUUGCGUUUGAAUAUAUUUGCUAAUGAAUAAAUGAUUUGUGAUAAAUAUUAUUCAAUUGAAGAUAUGCGUAUGAUUAUUGGGUUGGAAUUAUGUUUGUUUGAAUGCCAUGGAUAUGGUUUAAAUUUGAGGUAUGAUUCGUAAUGACAAUGUGAUUAAUAGUGCAUGUAUUAUAUUUAAUUAGCCAUGUGCUUAAUAUGUAUGAAUAUGACUUGCAUGAAUAUGUGAAUGUUUGGGAUUAUGUUUUUAUUCAGUAAUGCCUCAUAAUCUUAAUCUGGCGACGGAUACGGGUUAGGGGUGUUACAGUUGGUGUUAGUGGGUAUAUCCCAUAUUGGUUAAAUACAGGCUAUUAAGAGUUUUUUUAUAAUUGUACUUCUUACUCUUAUUGAGAAAUUGGGCCAUAGGCUUAUCACAUUUUUUUUCAAGAGUCUUAUUUUUUCCACAUAGUUACUGUCCGAAAAAUCUAGGAAUUUUUGGUUGUUCGGACGAAGAUAGUGGGGGUAGUUUCAGUGCUUUUUUUUACUUCUUUGCCCCUGCCUUUUUAUUAUUUUCCCCUUAUGUUAACAUUCCUCUCCUCCGCUUUCUGUUUGCGAUUUCUUUAUAAAUUGUCUUUUUUUUUCCUUAAUCACUUUAGAGAAAAUUAUGUCCACGAGUUUGGGUUUUAAGCGGGAUCGACUAUGACCCCUCCAAACUUUCCUACGAAUUGUUCCUACCAUAAUUUCCUGAUAAGAGCAACACUAAUCAAGUUCCAUCUUCCAUAUUCGAGUGUACGAAUAUCGAAGGACUGUGUUAACCUUGGAGGAUGAGAUCCGUUACAUGAUUACACCGAUCAGGGUGAAUUUGUUUCUAAGACGAUAGAUUUACCACGGUGCAAUAAUUUUUUAUUUCAAAUUUCGUUAUUUAUUUUCCAGUAAGUGCUAACAGAUUUGUUUUGCAAUAACUUAUUUCCAACAUCCUCUUGCUCAUUGCCCAAACAGGUCUUAUACAUCACAAUUUACAAACUACGUACACAUUUGAGUUGGCUCGUGGCUCAUAGCUCGUGGUGUUUUGUAAUUUGAUUUGGAAAACAGAGGCCAUUCACGGUGAUCCCACCAUCAACAAAAAUAAGCUGCCCUGUUACAUAUGAAGCCGCCGGUAGGCACAAGAAAGCAACCAUAGCCGACACUUCCUUCGGCUCGCCAGCCCGUCCUAAUGGUGUUCGACUUAUGAUUGCAUUUAUU